GGACACAAAGGUAAGUUAACACCUAUUUUUUAAGAUGGCAGAGGAAGAGUCAUGCCUUCUUCCCUGUUAUUUCAUCCCCUUCUUCCAAUUUUGCCCCCCAAUUCAAUGUAUUACGUCGUCUACAACUGAACAACAAUGCUAGGAUGACUUAAAGCGUCGCUGCAAUUACCAAUUCAAUCAAUUAGGUCUCAUCAUUGAGGCUACCAACCGGCCACCUUCUUCUUCAUCUUCCUUCCGUUUCCUUAUUUAGUUAUGCUCAGAGUUACAAAUCUCACACUGUUCAUUCAAUUUUCAUCUUCAUUGCAAUUCCAGCAGAAUCGAUUGACAUACAAGAGAUCGUUAUUGCCUUUUCUGAUCGAAAAUUGAGCGGUGAGAUUAGGGCUAAGAGAACUUGAUCGGAGAAGCAGACUACAGUAUGAGAAAAAGCCCCAAAUUGCAGCUAUCACGUUGGUUUUCCGAAAUCAACCCCUACUGUUACAUCAGUUUACUUCCAUGGAUUACACUUGCAAGCAUUGAUGAUGUACUUGCGUCGCUUGUCUUUGGUUUUUUAUUUACUAACUCUUCUUAUAGUUUUUCAGUUUUUAGCAAGUUUGUUUAUUAUAUGUGGAAUUGAUCAGAAGUCGACUCUCUUGAGACGGAUUAUGUGCGAUAUACUAGGAAUCUACUAACAAAAUGUUGUAUCUUCUUUUUUUCAGGGUAAAUUGUCCAUAACAUGAUUGCAAAAGAUAAAAUGUGGCUUUAUUUUUUUUUUUUUUGAAUGAUGUAUAUCUUUAAUAUGUAUUCAUUCAAAUGCCUAUAUAACUAUUGAAUAUGUGGGAUGGCAAGCGAUUAUAUAGGUAUCACUCAAUAUUUUUGAUAUCGGAAGCAUAAGCUUUUUAGUUCGAAUUGGAAUUGUGUUCUAUCUUGUUGUUUUCUAUUAUAAUCUAUGUGGUUAAGUCAUGUGUUCAGAUUACCAUGUAGAUGAGGCACAAAUAAGAAAGAUGACAUAUCAGUAUUGCUAAUCUUCGUUAGCUCUGUUUAAGCAUUGAUUCCAUUGAGCAUGUAUCUUUUUUCCAUUUUGUAGGUGCUUAUUCAUUUUGGUUAUAUAGAUGAGGUUUGUAGUCUCUGUUGUCUUUGUCUUUUUUGGAGUUUGAUUUUAGUAUUUAGUACUAAAACUUGCAACAAUAAAGCUUUUUCUUUCCAGAUACGAAGGAGCCAACAUGCUCCCAUUAAUCCUGCUGUAACAAUAGUUCAUGCAACUGCUUACGCCUUUGAAAUUGGGAUUUCUUCCUGCUGUAACAAUAUGAUCAAAUCUUAUUGGGUUGUUUCUGUAUAUUGGAUCAUACUAUGUUAAGUAUCUACUUCUUUUUUCUUUUUUCACAUAGUGGACAUGUGAAGAAGAAGAAGCAAUGCGACGGUGCGAGACUUAUUAUAUCUGCAACUGCGGGAAUAAUCGUUGGAUACCUAAUCGGGAUUAAUUUUCCUUAUGUUGCUCUUACCAAGGUUCUUGGCUACCCUAGCUAAUCCCGUCGCGUAUUGUCAACUCUGCUGCAAUGCGCGGCGACUCUUAAAAGCUGCGAAAGAGAUAGAAAACCAACGACUUUGGUGGUCGUGCUACUCAACGGCGGCGAUAGAAGGUUGGGGGAGAGAGUGGAUCGUCCUUUUCGUUGCCUAGACCAUCAUUAUAGGAGAGAACUUGUAAGGGUAUAUUUAUCAAAUGGGGAGCAAAUAUGAACAAAUAAAAUGAAGGUUUGGGAAGUUGAUAGAAGAUGAACUUAGGUGGUCAAGGUAAUUGAUUGGAGAAACUGGUUCGGGAAAAAGCACCAAGCUGGUUCAAUGGAGAAGUGGCUGUGGUAUGGGAAAACGGCAGGGAGUUUUGGGUGUAUAGUUUGGGGUCUGGGGUUUGCGGAUCAUUAGAAGGAUGGCUGAACAAACAACGGUUUUCUGAGAAAGCGAGAAUAGGAUGUAAGUUAUUGUUAUGUUUUUGUUUUUUAUGUGUGAAGUAUUGAUAGUUUUAAUCAUCUCAACUUGUAUAGCUGUAAUGAGUUGGUGAGAAGGGAGCAAGAUAAAAUUAUAUAUGAUGAAUCACAACAGUAUGAAUCUACACCUAUGAAUCACUGCUGUAAGUGUGAUAAAAAGGUAAAAAUUCGAAGCGCUACAUCUGACCGUAAAGGGUAUAAAAGGCGGCUAGAAAUGUUAUAAAAAGAGGCAUAUAAUGCAGCUGAAGAUGUGGUAAAAAGAGACGUAAGACAGCUGCAAAUGUGAUAAAAAAAGUGAAAAAAACACAGCUGCGAACGUGGUAAAAAUAUGCAUAAAACUCGGCUGUAAACGUGUUAAAAAAAGUAUAAAAUGCAGCUGCACAUAUGGGUUAAACAAUAACAAACGUGUAAUGUGAUCGAAUGGGUCAAAGAAUCACAAAGGUGAAAAUGUGUUCAAAUGAGAUUAGAACCACUUAAGAGUCUUUUUGAAUGGUACUCCUAUGUUUUUUGAUACAUGCAGGUCAGUCAUAGUUACUGGUAGUCUUUUAUAUCAGCAAAUGUAGUUCUAAACAUGUAAAGGAAGUCAAUGAGUAAAUUCUAUUCUAAUUGCU
Long non-coding RNA from Helianthus annuus (common sunflower), 2569 nucleotides. RefSeq lists it as uncharacterized. The transcript has 5 exons. Lineage: Eukaryota; Viridiplantae; Streptophyta; Magnoliopsida; Asterales; Asteraceae. The record is from RefSeq and is a predicted model, not a curated record.